This 497-nucleotide ribosomal RNA is filed under the name uncultured bacterium. RNAcentral describes it as "partial 16S ribosomal RNA". It matches the Rfam family "Bacterial small subunit ribosomal RNA", at positions 28 to 507 of the family's 1533-position model. The record is from RNAcentral.
GACGAACGCUGGCGGCGUGCCUAAUACAUGCAAGUAGAACGCUGAAGAGAGGAGCUUACUCUUCUUGGAUGAGUUGCGAACGGGUGAGUAACGCGUAGGUAACCUGCCUUGUAGCGGGGGAUAACUAUUGGAAACGAUAGCUAAUACCGCAUAACAAUGGAUGACACAUGUCAUUUAUUUGAAAGGGGCAAUUGCUCCACUACAAGAUGGACCUGCGUUGUAUUAGCUAGUAGGUGAGGUAAUGGCUCACCUAGGCGACGAUACAUAGCCGACCUGAGAGGGUGAUCGGCCACACUGGGACUGAGACACGGCCCAGACUCCUACGGGAGGCAGCAGUAGGGAAUCUUCGGCAAUAGGGGCAACCCUGACCGAGCAACGCCGCGUGAGUGAAGAAGGUUUUCGGAUCGUAAAGCUCUGUUGUAUGUCAAGAACGGGUGUGAGAGUGGAAAGUUCACACUGUGACGGUAGCUUACCAGAAAGGGACGGCUAACUACGUG